GACGAACGCUGGCGGCGUGCCUAAUACAUGCAAGUCGAACGCUUCUUUCCUCCCGAGUGCUUGCACUCAAUUGGAAAGAGGAGUGGCGGACGGGUGAGUAACACGUGGGUAACCUACCCAUCAGAGGGGGAUAACACUUGGAAACAGGUGCUAAUACCGCAUAACAGUUUAUGCCGCAUGGCAUAAGAGUGAAAGGCGCUUUCGGGUGUCGCUGAUGGAUGGACCCGCGGUGCAUUAGCUAGUUGGUGAGGUAACGGCUCACCAAGGCCACGAUGCAUAGCCCAACUGGGAGGGGGGUCCGCCCCCACUGGACUGGAGACACGGCCAGACUCCUACGGGAGGCAGCAGUAGGGAAUCUUCGGCAAUGGACGAAAGUCUGACCGAGCAACGCCGCGUGAGUGAAGAAGGUUUUCGGAUCGUAAAACUCUGUUGUUAGAGAAGAACAAGGACGUUAGUAACUGAACGUCCCCUGACGGUAUCUAACCAGAAAGCCACGGCUAACUACGUG
This 508-nucleotide ribosomal RNA is filed under the name uncultured bacterium. Its description in RNAcentral is "partial 16S ribosomal RNA". It matches the Rfam family "Bacterial small subunit ribosomal RNA", at positions 28 to 507 of the family's 1533-position model. The record is from RNAcentral.